This 515-nucleotide ribosomal RNA is filed under the name Salmonella enterica. Its description in RNAcentral is "partial 23S ribosomal RNA". It matches the Rfam family "Bacterial large subunit ribosomal RNA", at positions 1273 to 1781 of the family's 2925-position model. The record is from RNAcentral. Lineage: Bacteria; Pseudomonadati; Pseudomonadota; Gammaproteobacteria; Enterobacterales; Enterobacteriaceae.
CUGGAGGUAUCAGAAGUGCGAAUGCUGACAUAAGUAACGAUAAAGCGGGUGAAAAGCCCGCUCGCCGGAAGACCAAGGGUUCCUGUCCAACGUUAAUCGGGGCAGGGUGAGUCGACCCCUAAGGCGAGGCCGAAAGGCGUAGUCGAUGGGAAACGGGUUAAUAUUCCCGUACUUGGUGUUACUGCGAAGGGGGGACGGAGAAGGCUAUGUUGGCCGGGCGACGGUUGUCCCGGUUUAAGCGUGUAGGUGUGUGUUCCAGGUAAAUCCGGUUCACUUUAACACUGAGGCGUGACGACGAGGCACUACGGUGCUGAAGCAACAAAUGCCCUGCUUCCAGGAAAAGCCUCUAAGCAUCAGGUAACAUCAAAUCGUACCCCAAACCGACACAGGUGGUCAGGUAGAGAAUACCAAGGCGCUUGAGAGAACUCGGGUGAAGGAACUAGGCAAAAUGGUGCCGUAACUUCGGGAGAAGGCACGCUGACAUGUAGGUGAAGUGAUUUACUCAUGGAGCUGAA